CCCUAGUAUUAAGAUAGUAAUAAUUAGUAAAUUAUUGAAAUUUAAUAAUUUUGGCGGUCAUUUUAUUAAUUUAGAGGAGUUUGUUUAAGAAUAAGAAUUUACUCUUUAGAUUUUAAUAAUAUAUUGGUUUAUUCAUCUCCGUUAAUAAAUUUAUAAUUAAUAAAGAGUUAUUUCUGGUAUCUCAGGUCAAGAUGUAGCAUAUAUUUUAUAUAAAUUAACUACAAUUAUAAAAUAAUGAAUCAUAAUAAAGAAAGGUUUUUAAGAAAUUGAAUUUAAUUGUAAUAAUAACUAAAAAGUUAUUAUGAAAUUUUAUGAUUGAUGUA
RNAcentral lists this ribosomal RNA (323 nucleotides) under Palcapachylus aff. bicalcariventris MZSP 72999. RNAcentral describes it as "partial small subunit ribosomal RNA". Lineage: Eukaryota; Metazoa; Arthropoda; Arachnida; Opiliones; Gonyleptidae. The record is from RNAcentral.